UGGUGUCCCUCAGUGUGACUGCAGUAAUGAUCCCCUGCUGCCAUCCCCACACCUGAGAGGGGUUUGCUCCUCCACCUGGAUGCAGCCUAUGGAGAACUAACACCAUGGGACUGCUGAUCUUUGCUGUCUGCUCUUCAGACUCUUCUUAUGUACCAGUGGCUGAAGUUUUCCUCUGGGAAAAAAACAUCAGAAGAUCGCCGGGUGCUGAACUUGUGUUGGGUCGGAGCGAUGGGGUGUGAGUAGUGUCGGUGGAGGAGCUGUGCAAUCCGACCAGGCCCAGUAAUGACCUCACUUGCAGAUCUCGGACCUGUAGAUGGAGCAAUUGCACUGCUGAAAAGAACCAGGAGCGCCUGCUGACCCCUUCCCAGCAAUUCAGAGCAAUUUUUAAAUCGGGAAAUAUUUGUCCCAUAUGGCUCUGCUGAGGCAUUUAGCUAAAAAUGCAACAACAAAAAGUAAACCGAAAAAAUCCAACGUCAGAAUCCAACGGAGCUUGGCAGGCUCUACCCCAAUCAUACCACGAACAGGAAGAGCCCUGCAGCUACACCAAGUUGUGUGCAUGUUAAGACACACAAUUAACACCAUCUCUGUGAAAUACAGAUACAUUUGCUAGACUUUCUGCCAUGGUGUUCUGAGGGCUUUCCAGUGAAGUUCAAAGGUAGUUACCUCAAAAGGUCAAACUGCUUCCAGGAAAAGGAACAGACAGAGUUACUUCUGGAUCUGCCAUUGGCUGGUGGUAUUUAUUUUCUUUGAACAAACAAGAAAAACCCAACAAAUACCCACACACACACAAUUUAUUAACCACCAACCACCCAUAGAACCACCAGAAGUGCAAUGUAUUGUGAAUGCCUCUCCCCAUUCCCUUUUUCUCGGUAAAGAAUGCAGAAGUAUGCUGUGAUUGAGCUCCAUCAAAAAGGACUUGCUCUCUCAGUGGCACACCAGAGCUAAAGACGCGCUGUUUCUACACUUGGAAGCAAAUCUUUUUGCCCGUUUUCCUCAGUACCUUUCUGCUUAUUUCUUUGAACAAACCCAUUGGGAAACAAAAUAAAACAAUAUACCUCUGAAGUUCUUGCCUCUGUUGCCUUCCCCUGCCAGACAGCUACUGCAGGAGAAGCCUACUGCCAGCCCGGGUCUGUGGAAUAAUAAAUGCCCUCCAUUGCUUUGUGCUGGGGAUCAAAGCAAGAACUGCAUUCAAAUAGCAGGAAAGUGAUCUGAA
This 1213-nucleotide long non-coding RNA is filed under the name Gallus gallus (chicken). RNAcentral's name for it is "lncRNA (ENSGALG00010026035.1)". The record is from RNAcentral. Lineage: Eukaryota; Metazoa; Chordata; Aves; Galliformes; Phasianidae.